AUCUCCCAUUAAAUUUUAUAUCAAAAUAAUGGUUUGCCUAUAAAUUUCAUGUUUUAAUACAUUUAAACUUAAAGUACGAGAAAUCCAAAUAGUUUUUGGAUCAAGACCAUUAUAAUAAACUCCUUCGGGACCAUGCACAAUAUUUCUAUCAAAAUAUAAGAAGAUUGGAAUUGGUUGAUGCGCCACAUGAAAAUUUUCUAUUGUGAAAUAAAUUGAUAUAAGAUAAAUUAUACGUAGAAAUUAAAAAACAUACAAACAAAAUAACACCAAAAUGUGUAGAAAAGAUUUGUUUAGAAAAUUUCAAAGGAGUACAAAUGGUCUUCACGAAUCCAAUCUAGAGCAACUAGUACAUUUGGAACCCUUUAAAUUAUAUAAAUAAGAUAUGUAGUAAAAAUUGGAGAAGUAGAAGAGAAAUGAGUAUAUUUUAAAGUGUAUAAAGAAGAGAGGAAUGAGAGUGAGGUUGAAAUUAACAAAUAUUUAACUAUUUAUAGAGAAGUUUGAUUUUUUUAAUAUUAAAAUCAAAAUGUGCAGGUUAUAGUCAUAACUGUUGGGAAUCCGGUACUCGCCCCGGUACCGGAUCUUGUGAAUCCACAACCCGCUUCGAUACUGACUGCUGUGAAUCUGGUACCGAUGGUUGGUAUUCUGCAACGGAAACAUCAAAUCGGAUUUUUACCAUAAACCCGUCUCCUCAGCAAAAACUGAUACAAUCAUAAAAGAGAAAAAUAUGCAGGUAAAAUAAGAUUCAUUAAAUAAGAGAAGAUUACACCUGACUUCUCUUUUACACAGAGUAGCUACAAUCUGAGCCCUCUUUCUUGAAUCGCUUCUACCUUUCUCUCGUCUUCUAUAAACCCACAAAGAAGACCUCUCCGCGUGCACCCGUGCACAAGGUGCACUCAACUCAUUAACUCU
Molecule: long non-coding RNA, 909 nt
Filed under: Ananas comosus (pineapple)
Lineage: Eukaryota; Viridiplantae; Streptophyta; Magnoliopsida; Poales; Bromeliaceae
Description: long non-coding RNA (ACOM_LNC036873)
Source: RNAcentral